RNAcentral lists this ribosomal RNA (274 nucleotides) under uncultured bacterium. RNAcentral describes it as "partial 16S ribosomal RNA". It matches the Rfam family "Bacterial small subunit ribosomal RNA", at positions 523 to 796 of the family's 1533-position model. The record is from RNAcentral.
AUACGUAGAGUGCAAACGUUGUUCGGAAUUACUGGGCAUAAAGAGCUCGUAGGUGGCCUCGUAAGUCGGUUGUGAAAGCCCCUGGCUCAACCAGGGAAUUGCAGCCGAUACUGCAAGGCUUGAGUGUGGGAGGGGAGAGUGGAACUUCCAGUGGAGCGGUGAAAUGCGUAGAUAUUGGAAGGAACGCCGGUGGCGAAAGCGACUCUCCGGCCCACUACUGACACUGAGGAGCGAAAGCUAGGGUAGCGAACGGGAUUAGAAACCCCAGUAGUCC